AGUCGGAAUCGGCAAAGGUGAGCCGGGACAGCCUUCUUCCUCCGCCCAGCCGUCACAGUAAUUUGUCGUCAAGUUUGAAAAUGCGUAGAAGCAGGAGAGCUGCCACUGCACCAGAACCAGAUGUGCCCGACGAAGUGUCGGCAC
Molecule: long non-coding RNA, 144 nt
Organism: Hevea brasiliensis (rubber tree)
Lineage: Eukaryota; Viridiplantae; Streptophyta; Magnoliopsida; Malpighiales; Euphorbiaceae
Exons: 3
Source: RefSeq, a predicted model, not a curated record